Molecule: ribosomal RNA, 253 nt
Filed under: uncultured bacterium
Lineage: Bacteria
Description: partial 16S ribosomal RNA
Rfam family: Bacterial small subunit ribosomal RNA
Source: RNAcentral
UACAGAGGUCCCAAGCGUUGUUCGGAUUCACUGGGCGUAAAGGGUGCGUAGGCGGGUCUUUAAGUCAGGGGUGAAAUCCUGGAGCUCAACUCCAGAACUGCCUUUGAUACUGAGGAUCUUGAGUACGGGAGAGGUGAGUGGAACUGCGAGUGUAGAGGUGAAAUUCGUAGAUAUUCGCAAGAACACCAGUGGCGAAGGCGGCUCACUGGCCCGUAACUGACGCUGAGGCACGAAAGCGUGGGGAGCAAACAGG